Molecule: ribosomal RNA, 464 nt
Filed under: uncultured bacterium
Lineage: Bacteria
Description: SSU rRNA
Rfam family: Bacterial small subunit ribosomal RNA
Source: RNAcentral
AGAAUCAACGCUGGCGGCGUGCCUAACACAUGCAAGUCGAACGAGAAAGUGGAGCAAUCCAUGAGUAAAGUGGCGCACGGGUGAGUAACACGUGACUAACCUACCCUUGAGUGGGGGAUAACCUAGAGAAAUCUGGGCUAAUACCGCAUAAUACCUUCGGGUCAAAGGAGCAAUUCGCUUAAGGAGGGGGUCGCGGCCGAUUAGUUAGUUGGCGGGGUAAUGGCCCACCAAGACUAUGAUCGGUAUCCGGCCUGAGAGGGCGCGACGGAACGACGACUAGGAACGUGAAACACGGUCCAGACUCCUACGGGAGGCAGCAGUGGGAAUUUGCGCAAUGGGGGAAACCCUGACGCAGCAACGCCGCGUGGAGGAUGAAGUCCCUUGGGACGUAAACUCCUUUCGAUCGGGACGAUAAUGACGGUACCGAGAGAAGAAGCCCCGGCUAACUUCGUGCCAGCAGCCGC